Molecule: ribosomal RNA, 764 nt
Filed under: uncultured Lactococcus sp.
Lineage: Bacteria; Bacillati; Bacillota; Bacilli; Lactobacillales; Streptococcaceae
Description: bacterial SSU rRNA
Rfam family: Bacterial small subunit ribosomal RNA
Source: RNAcentral
GACGAACGCUGGCGGCGUGCCUAAUACAUGCAAGUUGAGCGCUGAAGGUUGGUACUUGUACCGACUGGAUGAGCAGCGAACGGGUGAGUAACGCGUGGGGAAUCUGCCUUUGAGCGGGGGGACAACAUUUGGAAACGAAUGCUAAUACCGCAUAAAAACUUUAAACACAAGUUUUAAGUUUGAAAGAUGCAAUUGCAUCACUCAAAGAUGAUCCCGCGUUGUAUUAGCUAGUUGGUGAGGUAAAGGCUCACCAAGGCGAUGAUACAUAGCCGACCUGAGAGGGUGAUCGGCCACAUUGGGACUGAGACACGGCCCAAACUCCUACGGGAGGCAGCAGUAGGGAAUCUUCGGCAAUGGACGAAAGUCUGACCGAGCAACGCCGCGUGAGUGAAGAAGGUUUUCGGAUCGUAAAACUCUGUUGGUAGAGAAGAACGUUGGUGAGAGUGGAAAGCUCAUCAAGUGACGGUAACUACCCAGAAAGGGACGGCUAACUACGUGCCAGCAGCCGCGGUAAUACGUAGGUCCCGAGCGUUGUCCGGAUUUAUUGGGCGUAAAGCGAGCGCAGGUGGUUUAUUAAGUCUGGUGUAAAAGGCAGUGGCUCAACCAUUGUAUGCAUUGGAAACUGGUAGACUUGAGUGCAGGAGAGGAGAGUGGAAUUCCAUGUGUAGCGGUGAAAUGCGUAGAUAUAUGGAGGAACACCGGUGGCGAAAGCGGCUCUCUGGCCUGUAACUGACACUGAGGCUCGAAAGCGUGGGGAGCAAACA